GAAAUGCGAUACGUAAUGUGAAUUGCAAAUUCAGUGAAUCAUCGAGUCUUUGAACGCACAUUGCGCCCCCUGGUAUUCCGGGGGGCAUGCCUGUCCGAGCGUCAUUUCUGCCCUCAAGCACGGCUUGUGUGUUGGGCCCCGUCCUCCGAUCCCGGGGGACGGGCCCGAAAGGCAGCGGCGGCACCGCGUCCGGUCCUCGAGUGUAUGGGGCUUUGUCACCCGCUCUGUAGGCCCGGCCGGCGCUUGCCGAUCAACCCAAAUUUUUAUCCAGGUUGACCUCGGAUCAGGUAGGGAUACCCGCUGAACUUAAGC
This 312-nucleotide unclassified non-coding RNA is filed under the name plant metagenome. RNAcentral's name for it is "partial contains 5.8S ribosomal RNA, internal transcribed spacer 2, and large subunit ribosomal RNA". The stretch from base 1 to 104 matches the Rfam family "5.8S ribosomal RNA", at positions 50 to 154 of the family's 154-position model. The record is from RNAcentral.